Gadus macrocephalus (Pacific cod) is the source of this 3935-nucleotide long non-coding RNA. RefSeq lists it as uncharacterized. Lineage: Eukaryota; Metazoa; Chordata; Actinopteri; Gadiformes; Gadidae. The record is from RefSeq and is a predicted model, not a curated record. The transcript has 4 exons.
AACCGCAACCUCUCACUCACUCAACACACGCACCACUCACAAACUGUCAACGGAGGCAUACAAGUUAGGAUAUUUGAGUAUUCCUAGAGUGCCUGGGUCUACCUGGACACUGCUGAAGCUACUGGGUAAACACACAGCACUCCGGAUUAGCUCAGUGCAGCAGAACACGGUGGAUUGUGGGUAAAUGAGUUCUAUGAAUAGGGCUAAGCUCAGAUCAGUCCCUGAGUGACCCUGAGCUCCAGAACAGGUUCUAGAGGAAUAGUUACACUGAGGCUGUGUUAGUUUUGAUUGCAGCACCACGUGACCAUAGACAUGUGGUUCAAUGAUGGAGGGAUCAUCUAUUAUUACACACCUGAUUUUCUUUUCUUGAUUUUCUUUCAGAGGACAGUCACAUCCUUGCUUUCAUCCUCACUGGAGUUGCUGUUCUUGCUGUUGUUGCUGCUGCUGUUGUUGGAGUCUUUCUGUACCGGAAGAGGAACGAUUCAGACAAGCGUCACAAACCAGUUGGUUCUGACACCAGCUCUGAGAACACUGAGGGACAGAAUCCGUCUCCUGAGGCCCAACCUCUGACCACAGUUCAAAGUUAAAUCAUGAAGAGGCUUCUCACGUUCACCUUCAGACACGUGCCGUCCAUAUGGGCAGGUGGGGCAGCAAACUACUUUCAAAAGCAUCCUCCCAAAAAAAUAGUUCCUCAGUAAAUCAUGGCGAUAAGUCUAUGUUUAAUAAUGUGAAUUUCACACAAACUAUCUAUAGCUUCUGUAGGCUUUCCGACUAUUUUUGGUCUGUUGACGUUACAUUUUGGAUGAUGGUGGCGAUUCUAGUUAAGUUUGACAUGUCAUGCAAUGUGGGGCAGGAUAGCUCAGUGACUGCGUUCCUCCGUAUGUUUAUAGCAUAACCCUGCAGGCGGCAAUUAGUAUUGCAAUCCGCGCUAAAAGACGCCUUUAGGGGCGUAAAGUCGUCUGCCCCAUGGUCAUAUUCUAGAACUGUUGUUGUUUUAACUCAAAUUAUUCCACGCGUAUCUUUCGUCGUUUCUAUUUCAGAUGCGAGUGGUGUUGCACCUGGGAUUAAUAGUGUUGAGUUUCUGCUAAAAAUCUCACCUGCUGACCCAGGGACUCUCCUCUCAGCCUCAAACUCUGAGCCACCUCGCCCACUCAGCUGCUGCAUUUGCACUAAGAGAAACGCUGUGUUUUGUUUCCCAUGUCCACUUUUUCGAGCAAGUGUGUGAACAGGACAAGGGGAUAUAUGGACCACGAAUGUGAAGCAUAUAUAUAUAUAUAUAUAUAUAUAUAUAUAUAUAUAUAUAUAUAUAUAUAAUGUAUAUAGAAAUAUAAUAAUGUAUCAUACAGUAUUAUAUAUGUAUAUAAUAUAUACAUAUUACAAAAACAAAUUUUGGGUCUGGUCAUACGCCAGUAGUUUCUGCCCCACUGAAAUUUAGGAUCACCGCACGCUACUGUUCAGCGUCCUAAACCAGGAUGGAGUGCACUCAAAGUGAAACGUAACGUAAAUUGCCCCUAGGUGAAUCGUGACGUUCUCUAAUGAAGGGAAAUGUAUGACACGUUAGAUCUACCAACGAUCAACCAGUUUACUGAAAUAGGUCAAAGGUGCAUCUCAUGAAGAUAUUUGUGUAAUGUGGAUGAGAAUUUGUGGCCCAACUGACAGGAACAUGAGAGUGGUGGGAAGACUGCACUGUAAUUCCUACAGCACUGCAUGUACGGUUUACUCCAAGUUGAUUGUCCUAUGUUCACAUUUCUAAUUUGUUUUUUUCAGCAGUGCUGUCUAUUCGUUUCUGUAUCGCAAUGACAUGGUCUGUCAACAAACUACAGUACAAACAGUAAAAGCGUAAAUAUGAAUCUUGUCCAGUCUCUUGCAAUCAAUCUCCCACACACGCUAAGGGGUAACUUACAAUUUACAAUAAUUGUCAUCAGAACUUUAGCCAUAGUUUACAUCAGAACAUCCCUCCAGAGAACACUGUUAUAUUGACAACAUGACUAAGAAAUGUGACUUAUCCGUCUUUUCCGUACACAAUGACACAAGGACUUGUCAUUCUGAUGGCACUGACACGUUCAUUGACACAGAUAUUUACUUUUGAGAGAUAAACUAAGAAUUUUGAGGAACUAAGGAUUUUCGCAUAAUCCAUGGUGUUUUGCUAUUUGUACGAGUUGUUUUGAGCAAUGCACUUACUGUUUUGCAAAUGUUGAGGAAGAUUCGAGAAAUGUACUAAAGCCAGAGAAAAACGGUAAAGUCACAACCCAGAGCGGGGGCGGGGCGCGGCCCAGACGAGGAGGCGUCGCCGUCGGGCGGAGGAGGAGGUCGAGGGGUCACGGUGGGGUCAUGGAGGUCAGGUUCAGGGACCGUCGCUCUGCUGAUGCAAUAAGUAAUGAACCAGCUUAGGGGGUCACUGCAGCUGGCGACCUUUGACCCCGUGUUUAGACCUCCGCACACAACGGGGUGCAAAGGUAAAAUAAAAUGACGUUUCAACUGCACUGUGUUGUAGAAGAAAGAAAACAGUUUGCAUUAUAAACCACACUAAUGAACAUUGUCAUUUGUUCUUUAAAUUAUUAACACCAAACUAUUCAAAUAUUGUAUUUAAGCUGACAUCAAGAAUUAUUCUUAAAAUGCACAUAAUGGCACAACUUGCACUAGCUGUUAAAAUAAGUUCAAAGAACGUAUUUAAAUACACUUUUUAAUAAACCAGUCACUGCCAAAAUAAGACAACUGAUGUUUGAUGUUUAUUGCUAUACUUUUUUUUUGUGAACAGCGAGUCAGUGAGUGGGAGUCGAGUCUGGGAGAACGAACUAUAGAGACGAACAAGAGAGAACUGAAACGUGGAAUCAAGUCGGUUCGUUCUUGUUAAAGAGUCGUUCCUUCAAACUGAUUCGGUCGCAAACGACCCAUCACUAAGUGACAUCACAAGUGGGCGUGUCCACCUAGACUUUUGCUGGAUGCAGCCCUUUAAGAAAACGCACAUUCCAAGCCGCCAUAUUGGUGAAUCCCAUUUGCCCACCGUACAAUCCCAUUGCCCACCGUAUAACACACACACACAUAACAACAAUAGAGAGUGUUAAAGGAGAUGUCACCUGCAUGCAUUUUCCAAGCAGACAUGGAGUUCAUAUUUGUAUUUCUCUCCCACCUUUUCUGUCCCUCGUUUCUUUUCCCUCGGACGGUUCAACUUCACUUGGCGGUCCGCCAAAAUCUUCUGCCAAUACCUUUACUCAUGAUCACCUAAAGACAUUACAAAAAACAUCAACGCCAAAACAUAAACAUGCGAGCGGUGAGUCUUUGAAGGAACCGAUAGAUCUUUGUAUCUCUGAGGAACCGGUUCUCACCGGAGAGCAGAUCCAGCGUCCAGCCGUGUUCCUUGGCGACGGCCGAGCGGUCCUUGACGACGACCUGGGCUUCCUCGGGGGUCUUGAAGCGGAUGUGUCCUUCACUGUCUCCCUCCAGUGUGUCCACACAGGCCACCGUAGAUAUUGUAGAGAGGGCGUCCUGUAGAAAUAAGAAAAGACAGACACUGGGAUGGAAUCACGGUGCAUGUGGCUGGAGCGAACAUUUAUUGCAGUUCAUUAAAAAUGUAUCUAAUAAUUGAGAAUGAUCAGUCGUUACCAGGGCUGUAGUGGGCGGGGCACACGGGGGGACACCGGCCACACACUUUUUUCAGCAUGUUACAAAAAAAAAGAAUCUAUAAAAAAUAUAUAUAUAUUUGUUUUCACUAUGGCAGCGCCGUCUGCUCAGUGUGUGGUGACUGCAGGCCCAGCCUCUCUGUAAAGUGGUGGUAGCGUGGCGAUGUUAAGAGCUUUGGUUACUUUGGAUUUGCUCCAUCAAUGUGUUGAGUGACAUGAGUGUUUGUCUAGUCCUGUUGGUAGGCCUAUUGUUUUAAUACGUGGGGGAAUGAGAAAAGAAGCAUUAUUAUUAAACAUGUUGAUUUUUACAAUUGA